CGCAGGGCCACAGGACUUCCCCAGGCAGGGCAGCUCGCAGCAGCAGGCAGCUGCCUCUCCUCCUGCCCCAGUGGCCCCCCCCCGAGCCGGCCCCAGCACCCCAUUUUUCUCCAGCACGGCGCAUUCCUCCCGCGCACGGCUCAGCGGAGCCGGUGCUCCGCGUGGGACGCUCGGGUGGAGGAGGAUGCUCCGGUGCCCAGGGGAGGCACCGGGCAUGCAGCACUCCCCUCUGCAGGCUUGGCGGGUCAGGGGCCGAGACGCUGCGUUUUCAGAGGACGGCAGAAGAGAGAGACCCGCGUUUGCAGCCCAAAUUUCAAAGCAUCUGGAUGCCCAGGCCCUGCCCUAGAGCAGAAGAGCCCAGCACCAUGCAGGAUGAGGCGUUCGCCUGCCGUACAGCACGGGAAGCAGUCGGCUCAGCUGGGGCAAGGGGCUGGCGGCAGCGGGACCCCCCUGCUCCUUCCCCCCRGGCAGGCCUGGCUGCACCCCGACGCAGCGCUGGUGGCGGUGGGGAAGGGGGUUGGCCCCCCUCUGCGGAGCCGGAGCCCACGUGCUGCGGCUGCCCCGAGCCCCCCCUCCGCCAGCCGCAGCGUUCAGGCUCCUCUCCGCGCGCCGGCGUCCCUUCCCAGCGCAUCUGUCGCAGGAGGCACGUGGCGUCACUCGGCCUCGUGAUAACCGGGGACACGCAGCGCGAGCUCCGCUCAAGGGAGGGAAUCGGCGAGACAGCAGCCCCUCAGGGCCGCCAGCUCCUGGUGCCCGGGUCUUUGCAUCCGUGCGGAGCCAGAGCCCAAACCUUCUCCCACCCGGCCCUGGGGAGACGUUCGCCAGGGCAGGGGCGAGAGGUGCACGGACACAGCGCCUUGCUAUCCCCAACGCGGGCACCGCUCGCCCCACGCUGCCCCCCUACGUCCAAAUCUGGGACCCGCGGGAGGACGGGACGAGCAUCGUCCCGGGCAGAUACGUCCAACCAGGGUGGCCAACCCUCGCGCUCUGGGGCCCGACGYGACGG
RNAcentral lists this long non-coding RNA (1006 nucleotides) under Apteryx owenii (little spotted kiwi). RNAcentral describes it as "lncRNA (ENSAOWG00000005278.1)". Lineage: Eukaryota; Metazoa; Chordata; Aves; Apterygiformes; Apterygidae. The record is from RNAcentral.